GGUUAAGCGACUAAGCGUACACGGUGGAUGCCCUGGCAGUCAGAGGCGAUGAAGGGCGUGCUAAUCUGCGAUAAGCGCCGGUAAGGUGAUAUGAACCGUUAUAACCGGCGAUACCCGAAUGGGGAAACCCAGUGUGACUCGUCACACUAUCAUUAACUGAAUCCAUAGGUUAAUGAGGCGAACCGGGGGAACUGAAACAUCUAAGUACCCCGAGGAAAAGAAAUCAACCGAGAUUCCCCCAGUAGCGGCGAGCGAACGGGGAGGAGCCCAGAGCCUGAAUCAGCAUGUGUGUUAGUGGAAGCGUCUGGAAAGUCGCGCGAUACAGGGUGACAGCCCCGUACACAAAAGCGCAUGUGCUGUGAGCUCGAUGAGUAGGGCGGGACACGUGGUAUCCUGUCUGAAUAUGGGGGGACCAUCCUCCAAGGCUAAAUACUCCUGACUGACCGAUAGUGAACCAGUACCGUGAGGGAAAGGCGAAAAGAACCCCGGCGAGGGGAGUGAAAAAGAACCUGAAACCGUGUACGUACAAGCAGUGGGAGCCCCACCACUAAGCCAGUGGUGAACUCCACAUACGCAUCCUUUGCUGAGGAUACGGUUAACGGAGCGAAAGCGACGUUCAACCUCAAAAGAAGCAGAGGGGGCUUAGUGGUGGGGUGACUGCGUACCUUUUGUAUAAUGGGUCAGCGACUUAUAUUCUGUAGCAAGGUUAACCGCAUAGGGGAGCCGGAGGGAAACCGAGUCUUAAUUGGGCGUUAAGUUGCAGGGUAUAGACCCGAAACCCGGUGAUCUAGCCAUGGGCAGGUUGAAGGUUGGGUAACACUAACUGGAGGACCGAACCGACUAAUGUUGAAAAAUUAGCGGAUGACCUGUGGCUGGGGGUGAAAGGCCAAUCAAACCGGGAGAUAGCUGGUUCUCCCCGAAAGCUAUUUAGGUAGCGCCUCGUGAAUUCAUCUCCGGGGGUAGAGCACUGUUUCGGCUAGGGGGCCAUCCCGGCUUACCAACCCGAUGCAAACUGCGAAUACCGGAGAAUGUUAUCACGGGAGACACACGGCGGGUGCUAACGUCCGUCGUGAAGAGGGAAACAACCCAGACCGCCAGCUAAGGUCCCAAAGUCAUGGUUAAGUGGGAAACGAUGUGGGAAGGCCCAGACAGCCAGGAUGUUGGCUUAGAAGCAGCCAUCAUUUAAAGAAAGCGUAAUAGCUCACUGGUCGAGUCGGCCUGCGCGGAAGAUGUAACGGGGCUAAACCAUGCACCGAAGCUGCGGCAGCGACACUCAGGUGUUGUUGGGUAGGGGAGCGUUCUGUAAGCCUGUGAAGGUGGCCUGUGAGGGUUGCUGGAGGUAUCAGAAGUGCGAAUGCUGACAUAAGUAACGAUAAAGCGGGUGAAAAGCCCGCUCGCCGGAAGACCAAGGGUUCCUGUCCAACGUUAAUCGGGGCAGGGUGAGUCGACCCCUAAGGCGAGGCCGAAAGGCGUAGUCGAUGGGAAACGGGUUAAUAUUCCCGUACUUGGUGUUACUGCGAAGGGGGGACGGAGAAGGCUAUGUUGGCCGGGCGACGGUUGUCCCGGUUUAAGCGUGUAGGUGUGUGUUCCAGGUAAAUCCGGUUCACUUUAACACUGAGGCGUGACGACGAGGCACUACGGUGCUGAAGCAACAAAUGCCCUGCUUCCAGGAAAAGCCUCUAAGCAUCAGGUAACAUCAAAUCGUACCCCAAACCGACACAGGUGGUCAGGUAGAGAAUACCAAGGCGCUUGAGAGAACUCGGGUGAAGGAACUAGGCAAAAUGGUGCCGUAACUUCGGGAGAAGGCACGCUGACACGUAGGUGAAGUGAUUUACUCAUGGAGCUGAAGUCAGUCGAAGAUACCAGCUGGCUGCAACUGUUUAUUAAAAACACAGCACUGUGCAAACACGAAAGUGGACGUAUACGGUGUGACGCCUGCCCGGUGCCGGAAGGUUAAUUGAUGGGGUCAGCGCAAGCGAAGCUCCUGAUCGAAGCCCCGGUAAACGGCGGCCGUAACUAUAACGGUCCUAAGGUAGCGAAAUUCCUUGUCGGGUAAGUUCCGACCUGCACGAAUGGCGUAAUGAUGGCCAGGCUGUCUCCACCCGAGACUCAGUGAAAUUGAACUCGCUGUGAAGAUGCAGUGUACCCGCGGCAAGACGGAAAGACCCCGUGAACCUUUACUAUAGCUUGACACUGAACAUUGAGCCUUGAUGUGUAGGAUAGGUGGGAGGCUUUGAAGUGUGGACGCCAGUCUGCAUGGAGCCGACCUUGAAAUACCACCCUUUAAUGUUUGAUGUUCUAACGUGGACCCGUAAUCCGGGUUGCGGACAGUGUCUGGUGGGUAGUUUGACUGGGGCGGUCUCCUCCUAAAGAGUAACGGAGGAGCACGAAGGUUGGCUAAUCCUGGUCGGACAUCAGGAGGUUAGUGCAAUGGCAUAAGCCAGCUUGACUGCGAGCGUGACGGCGCGAGCAGGUGCGAAAGCAGGUCAUAGUGAUCCGGUGGUUCUGAAUGGAAGGGCCAUCGCUCAACGGAUAAAAGGUACUCCGGGGAUAACAGGCUGAUACCGCCCAAGAGUUCAUAUCGACGGCGGUGUUUGGCACCUCGAUGUCGGCUCAUCACAUCCUGGGGCUGAAGUAGGUCCCAAGGGUAUGGCUGUUCGCCAUUUAAAGUGGUACGCGAGCUGGGUUUAGAACGUCGUGAGACAGUUCGGUCCCUAUCUGCCGUGGGCGCUGGAGAACUGAGGGGGGCUGCUCCUAGUACGAGAGGACCGGAGUGGACGCAUCACUGGUGUUCGGGUUGUCAUGCCAAUGGCACUGCCCGGUAGCUAAAUGCGGAAGAGAUAAGUGCUGAAAGCAUCUAAGCACGAAACUUGCCCCGAGAUGAGUUCUCCCUGAGACUUAGAGUCUCCUGAAGGAACGUUGAAGACGACGACGUUGAUAGGCCGGGUGUGUAAGCGCAGCGAUGCGUUGAGCUAACCGGUACUAAUGAACCGUGAGGCUUAACCUU
Molecule: ribosomal RNA, 3007 nt
Filed under: Salmonella sp. SJTUF14178
Lineage: Bacteria; Pseudomonadati; Pseudomonadota; Gammaproteobacteria; Enterobacterales; Enterobacteriaceae
Description: 23S ribosomal RNA
Rfam family: Bacterial large subunit ribosomal RNA
Source: RNAcentral